RNAcentral lists this long non-coding RNA (830 nucleotides) under Malus domestica (apple). RNAcentral's name for it is "long non-coding RNA (MDOM_LNC003117)". Lineage: Eukaryota; Viridiplantae; Streptophyta; Magnoliopsida; Rosales; Rosaceae. The record is from RNAcentral.
CACAGCAGACUGAAUAGUAAUAUCAGCAACUUCUUCGUUUUCACCCGGAUCAGCGAUUAGAGCAACUGUAUCAAGUUUGGACUCAUGAUCACUUGAGAAUCAGCAGCUUCAAAUCUAUGAGUACUCAUCCUAUUUGUUUGAUCUUGAAUCUUAAUGAGAGCUUAGAGUUUAGAUAGUUUCUUAAUGUUAAUUGAUAUGAAAUCCCUUUAUAUACUCAUCCAUCACAAGCCCGACCAUGGCCUUUAGGCAAUCGGGAAUCUUUAGGAUUCCUUGGGAGAAUAGGAAAUUGAUGUAGGACAAGAUAUGAUUCAAUUCAGACGAAGCAAGACAAAAAAAAUAAAAUGUUUCAAAUUUUGGACAAGAUGAAUUAAAGUUGCAAGAUAUUGGAUUCAAAUGAUAUGGCUAUAGAAAAGGCAGCAAGAAAUAUUCGGGAGUCAUAAUUGGACUUCUAACAUCUUUUAUAGAAAAUCACAAGAAAAACAAGACUCAUGAUUUACCAUGAGUUUGUCGUGUUUAAGGCAAAGUAAGAUGGUUUUGAUUUCUAGAUGAAAAACAAACUUGUCGUUUUACGUUCGAUUUUACUUCUUUUACAUUCCUUAAGACUCCCUGUUCUAAUGACAAUAGAUCAUGGGAAAAGAAAAACUCUAAGCGACGUUGUUCGUAAGGGAAGUACCGAAUAUUGAAUAGGAACACGUUAUGGGAUUCUCCUAUAGCCAACCUCAUCAAUUUUUCAUGGAGGAUAUUCAUUAUUUCAAAGAUUGUGAAUGUAUUGAAGGAUUUCUCCUAUGGAUUGAAGAUGUUAAGUUGUUCUUUGAAAGUAUGAAGAUUCU